This 315-nucleotide small nuclear RNA is filed under the name Oryctolagus cuniculus (rabbit). RNAcentral's name for it is "7SK RNA". It matches the Rfam family "7SK RNA". Rfam says of the family: 7SK was discovered as an abundant small nuclear RNA in the mid-70s but a possible function has only recently been suggested. Lineage: Eukaryota; Metazoa; Chordata; Mammalia; Lagomorpha; Leporidae. The record is from Rfam by way of RNAcentral.
GGAUGUGAGAGCUAUCUGGCUGUGCCAUUGGGCACCCCAUUGGUCACCAGGUUGGUUCGGCUGAUCUGGCUGGCUAGGCAGGUGUCCCCUUCCUCCCUCUCCACUCCAUGUAGGUCCCUCCCAAAGCUGCGUGCUCAGUGGAGGAGGACAACCUUCCCCACUUAGAGGACGACAGGUCUACAGUCAAGGUAUAUGAGGAGCUGCGCUCUCCCGCUAGAACCUCCAAACAAACUCUCAAAAGCAUGAAGUGGGUCUGAUUUGGUCUUUGGGGCAGUUUUCCAACUCCUGGUAAGAAAACCAACUUGAUCUUAAACA